Molecule: long non-coding RNA, 617 nt
Organism: Hyaena hyaena (striped hyena)
Lineage: Eukaryota; Metazoa; Chordata; Mammalia; Carnivora; Hyaenidae
Exons: 2
Source: RefSeq, a predicted model, not a curated record
AGAUGCAUAGAAAUGAAUGAGUGUCACCCCACAGACCACAGGGCUGGAAUGGGACACCGAAUAGUCCCUCUCGUCCAGGACACGCAGAAGGUUCUGAGACACACUUGGAGCCCACACAGGGUUCAUCCUGACCUGCAGCACACGGGCACAGUCCAGGGAGCUGAAACGGGGCCUCGAGAGCACUUGCUAGGGGAGAAAAGACCUUGAAGAAGCAAAGGGAAGGCCAGAGAAGGAGGGAAGAAGAGGGCCUGGCUCCCUCCUUCAGCCCCACAUCGCUGACCUCGACGCAACUACAAACACGAUAAGAGCUUCGUGGGGGCCCAGAGGACACCAACAUGGAAACCGGUUGCUGACAGGAGCUUCUCAACAGAUUCUCAGCAGAUCUGCUGACCCCAGGACUCAGCAACAACCACAACCCAACACCCCGUAAUCAAAAGUCAAGAACAUAGCCACCGCCCAACUCCAGGCAGCCAAGUUUCUGACCACCUCCCGUUUUAACUACCAAUGGCUCAAGUCAGAGCGGGGGAAAAAAAAGGGUUCUCUGGUUUCUUUAACUGUUCCCACACCAGAUCUGCUUUUCUUGCAGACCCUUAAGAUAAAAGAAAGACUGUUCAGUU